UGAGAAAAGGGUCCCUGAGAGAGAUGUGUUUGGGCCUCUUAUUCAAUACUUAUCGAUUUGCUUUCUUUCAUUAUGAAUUGUCAUUUUUAUUUUUGGAAUUUAUCCCGAAAGUGUUUCUUCUUCGAUACCCUAGGGUUUAGUCCCUUUUGCUCUACCAAUUAAUGGCUCCUAAGGGCAGGGGUGCUCCUCUUCCAACCCAAAAGUGGGUUUUGGCUCACCUUUUUG
RNAcentral lists this unclassified non-coding RNA (225 nucleotides) under Hevea brasiliensis (rubber tree). The record is from RNAcentral. Lineage: Eukaryota; Viridiplantae; Streptophyta; Magnoliopsida; Malpighiales; Euphorbiaceae.